UUGCCAGACUCCUACGGGAGGCAGCAGUGAGGAAUAUUGGUCAAUGGGCGCGAGCCUGAACCAGCCAAGUCGCGUGAGGGAGGACGGCCCUACGGGUUGUAAACCUCUUUUGCCGGGGAGCAACGGGCGUCACGUGUGGCGCCACUGAGAAUACCCGGAGAAAAAGCAUCGGCUAACUCCGUGCCAGCAGCCGCGGUAAUACGGAGGAUGCGAGCGUUAUCCGGAUUUAUUGGGUUUAAAGGGUGCGUAGGGCGGAUCGUAAGGUCAGUGGACAAGUUGGGGGCCCCACCCCCUUCCCGCCAUUGAAACUGGCGCUCUUGAGUGGAAGAGAAGUAUGCGGAAUGCGUGGUGUAGCGGUGAAAUGCAUAGAUAUCACGCAGAACCCCGAUUGCGAAGGCAGCAUGCCGGCUUCCGACUGACGCUGAAGCACGAAAGCGUGGGGAUCGAACAGGAUUAGAUACCCGGGUACCA
Molecule: ribosomal RNA, 471 nt
Filed under: uncultured bacterium
Lineage: Bacteria
Description: bacterial SSU rRNA
Rfam family: Bacterial small subunit ribosomal RNA
Source: RNAcentral